UACGUAGGGGGCGAGCGUUACCCGGAUUUACUGGGCGUAAAGGGGGCGUAGGCGGCCGUGAAAGUCCGGUGUGAAAACUCACGGCUCAACCGUGGGACUGCGCUGGAAACUACACGGCUUGAGGACGGUAGAGGGAGACGGAACUGCUGGUGUAGGGGUGAAAUCCGUAGAUAUCAGCAGGAACGCCGGUGGGGUAGCCGGUCUCCUGGGCCGCUCCUGACGCUGAGGCCCGAAAGCUAGGGGAGCAAACCGG
This 253-nucleotide ribosomal RNA is filed under the name uncultured microorganism. Its description in RNAcentral is "partial 16S ribosomal RNA". It matches the Rfam family "Bacterial small subunit ribosomal RNA", at positions 524 to 776 of the family's 1533-position model. The record is from RNAcentral.